AUUGAACGCUGGCGGCAGGCCUAACACAUGCAAGUCGAACGGUAGCACAGAGAGCUUGCUCUCGGGUGACGAGUGGCGGACGGGUGAGUAACGUCUGGGAAACUGCCCGAUGGAGGGGGAUAACUACUGGAAACGGUAGCUAAUACCGCAUAACGUCGCAAGACCAAAGUGGGGGACCUUCGGGCCUCACACCAUCGGAUGUGCCCAGAUGGGAUUAGCUAGUAGGUGGGGUAAUGGCUCACCUAGGCGACGAUCCCUAGCUGGUCUGAGAGGAGGACCAGCCAGACUGGAACGGAGAGACGGUCCAGACGCCUACGGGAGGCAGCAGUGGGGAGUAUUGCACAAUGGGCGCAAGCCUGAUGCAGCCAUGCCGCGUGUAUGAAGAAGGCCUUCGGGUUGUAAAGUACUUUCAGCGGGGAGGAAGGCGGUGAAGUUAAUAACUUCACCGAUUGACGUUACCCGCAGAAGAAGCACCGGCUAACUCCGUGCCAGCAGCCGCCGUAA
This 504-nucleotide ribosomal RNA is filed under the name uncultured bacterium. RNAcentral describes it as "partial 16S ribosomal RNA". It matches the Rfam family "Bacterial small subunit ribosomal RNA", at positions 29 to 523 of the family's 1533-position model. The record is from RNAcentral.